CCCUUAGAUGUUCUGGGCCGCACGCGCGCUACACUGACGAAGUCAGCGAGCAUGUCCUACGCCGACAGGUGCGGGGAAUCUUGUCAAACUUCGUCGUGAUGGGGAUGGAUUAUUGAAAUUCUUGAUCAUCAACGAGGAAUUCCUAGUAAGCGCAAGUCAGCAGCUUGCGUUGAUUACGUCCCUGCCCUUUGUACACACCGCCCGUCGCUACUACCGAUUGAAUGGUUUAGUGAGAUCUUCGGAUUGGCGCCACUGCGGCUCAGCAAUGGGCUCGGUGGAUGCCGAAAAGUUGAUCAAACUUGAUCAUUUAGAGGAAGUAAAAGUCGUAACA
Molecule: ribosomal RNA, 331 nt
Filed under: uncultured eukaryote
Lineage: Eukaryota
Description: partial 18S ribosomal RNA
Rfam family: Eukaryotic small subunit ribosomal RNA
Source: RNAcentral